Non-coding RNA from Odocoileus virginianus texanus, 76 nucleotides. The record is from the annotation of a RefSeq genome assembly. NCBI's taxonomy places the organism in Eukaryota, Metazoa, Chordata, Mammalia, Artiodactyla, Cervidae.
UCCCUGGUGGUCCAGUGGCUACGACUCUGUGCUCGCAAUGCAGGGGGCCGCCUAGGUUCGAUUCUUAGUCAGGGAA